Molecule: long non-coding RNA, 975 nt
Organism: Monodelphis domestica (gray short-tailed opossum)
Lineage: Eukaryota; Metazoa; Chordata; Mammalia; Didelphimorphia; Didelphidae
Source: RefSeq, a predicted model, not a curated record
CUCUUUUCUGAAAAUUGUCCAGAUCUUCUGCCUAUAGUUCAUGGCUUUCUCUCAUUUGUAUCUCUCCACAGCUUCUUCCAUGUAUUGACUGAUUAGGUCAAGCUCACACUUAACACUGAGUGAAUGAACUGAGGUGGCAUACUGGGGACACGGACUGUGCCCAGCCAGGAAUGACCUCUUCAGGCCUCCAAUUCUGGCUCAGAGCAGCAGAGACCAAUUUUGUCAAGGCCUCAAUCUGGACAAGGGCUCACACAACCCAACCCAGCCUUCAUGCCCUGCCUAGACGAUGAAGGGACCGUUCUCCCGUUGGCUUCUGGCCCCUACUCAGCACGGCACAUCCCCCAUGCCAUAAGGGAACUCACUCACGUGAUGCAAUUACCAGGAUGAGAGCUUGAAAGCAGACUACCGUCUGGAUUCUUGCUCAGCCUCAUCUCUGCCAGGGCAUCCUCUGAAAUGCUCCCAGCCUUUGGCAAGAGAAGGAAGGAGGCCAAAACCAGUCCCUGAGUCAGAGGCAGACCCCCUUCAUCUCCUCAAUGAAGAACCUGGAAUUGAUGGUGUUGACAUGAGGUCCUGCAGGACACUGCCCUCUGCCCACUUGGGCUCCCAGCCAUGCCCAGAAGGCUCCAUGAUGUCAGCUGCAAAACAGUCAACAAUCUCAUGUACCCACCCCUAAACACUGAGACCCUAAAGUGACUCUUGUAAUCCAAGAGAUGAGUUUUGGCCCCAAUCUAGGCCAAUAUCCGCCGACUUCCCCUGAGUCCCCUGAACAGACUUCGAGGAGGGCUUUCUCUUGAUCAGCUCUCCCCAGAUCCUUACAACCUCCAGGACCCUCCGUUUGAAAGCGGAGCCCAUUGUCCUGGUUCUCUCCCCUCUUGAUUGUUACUGAUGGUGGGGACUUGUUCGGACACCUCUGGAAACACAAUCAUAAUCAGGUAAUCCCUGAUGACCUCAGCAUUAAAAAUGAGUCACAGUGUG